Pelobates cultripes (western spadefoot toad) is the source of this 222-nucleotide non-coding RNA. The record is from the annotation of a GenBank genome assembly. NCBI's taxonomy places the organism in Eukaryota, Metazoa, Chordata, Amphibia, Anura, Pelobatidae.
GCCGUCUGGUCCUGGGGCCUUGUGGGUUUUGGAGAUUUUCAGGGCCGCCGCCAGUUCCUCCACCGAGAGGGGUUGGUCUAGGUCGUCUCGCAUUUCUGCAGUCAGCUUUUUAUCUAUAUUUUGUUCCAGGAAUUCAGUGAUUUGGCGGGUCUGUCGUGUGCGGGCCGCGUCAGUAUUGGGUUGGGGAAUGUUGUAUAGGUCCGUGUAGUAGUCUACGAACGC